RNAcentral lists this transfer RNA (73 nucleotides) under [Candidatus Thermochlorobacteriaceae] bacterium GBChlB. RNAcentral's name for it is "Candidatus Thermochlorobacteriaceae bacterium GBChlB tRNA-Ala". It matches the Rfam family "tRNA". Rfam says of the family: Transfer RNA (tRNA) molecules are approximately 80 nucleotides in length. The record is from RNAcentral. Lineage: Bacteria; Pseudomonadati; Chlorobiota; Chlorobiia; Chlorobiales; Chloroherpetonaceae.
GGGGCUUUAGCUUAGUUGGUAGAGCGCCUGCUUUGCAAGCAGGAGGUCAGGAGUUCGAGUCUCCUUAUCUCCA